CUACGGGGGGCACCAGUGGGGAAUAUUGCACAAUGGGGGGAACCCUGAUGCAGCAACGCCGCGUGGAGGAUGACGCAUUUCGGUGUGUAAACUCCUUUUAUAUGUCAAGAAAAUGACGGUAGCAUAUGAAUAAGCACCGGCUAACUCCGUGCCAGCAGCCGCGGUAAUACGGAGGGUGCAAGCGUUACUCGGAAUCACUGGGCGUAAAGGACGCGUAGGCGGGCUUGUAAGUCAGGUGUGAAAUCCUACAGCUUAACUGUAGAACUGCACUUGAAACUACGAGCCUAGAGUAUGGGAGGGGCAGAUGGAAUUAGUGGUGUAGGGGUAAAAUCCGUAGAUAUCACUAGGAAUACCUAAAGCGAAGGCGAUCUGCUGGAACAUAACUGACGCUAAGGCGUGAAGGCGUGGGGAGCAAACAGGAUUAGAUACCCCCGUAGUC
RNAcentral lists this ribosomal RNA (439 nucleotides) under uncultured bacterium. RNAcentral describes it as "partial 16S ribosomal RNA". It matches the Rfam family "Bacterial small subunit ribosomal RNA", at positions 339 to 795 of the family's 1533-position model. The record is from RNAcentral.